This 468-nucleotide ribosomal RNA is filed under the name uncultured bacterium. RNAcentral's name for it is "partial 16S ribosomal RNA". It matches the Rfam family "Bacterial small subunit ribosomal RNA", at positions 28 to 507 of the family's 1533-position model. The record is from RNAcentral.
GACGAACGCUGGCGGCGUGCUUAACACAUGCAAGUCGAACGGAAAGGCCCUGCUUUUGUGGGGUGCUCGAGUGGCGAACGGGUGAGUAACACGUGAGUAACCUGCCCUUGACUUUGGGAUAACUUCAGGAAACUGGGGCUACUACCGGAUAGGAGCUCCUGCUGCAUGGUGGGGGUUGGAAAGUUUCGGCGGUUGGGGAUGGACUCGCGGCUUAUCAGCUUGUUGGUGGGGUAGUGGCUUACCCAGUCUUUGACGGGUAGCCGGCCUUAGAAGGGGACCGGCCACAAUACGACUGAGAUACGGAGCAGUCGCGAACAGGAGACAAUGGUGGGGAAUAUUGCACAGUGGUCGCAAGUGUGAGAAGAAGGCGCCGGGGUCGUAAAGACGUCCUGUUGGGUGAGAAACGCAGCCGCCUAUUACGAAGCGGGAGUGACGGUAAUGAAUGAAUAAGCACCGGCUAACUACGUG